RNAcentral lists this ribosomal RNA (253 nucleotides) under uncultured bacterium. RNAcentral's name for it is "partial 16S ribosomal RNA". It matches the Rfam family "Bacterial small subunit ribosomal RNA", at positions 524 to 776 of the family's 1533-position model. The record is from RNAcentral.
UACGGAGGGUGCAAGCGUUGCUCGGAAUUAUUGGGCGUAAAGCGUCCGCAGGUGGCACUUCAAGUCUGUCGUCAAAGACUGGGGCUUAACCCUGGAAAGGCGGUGGAAACUGAAGCGCUAGAGUGCGGUAGGGGUAGAGGGAAUUCCCGGUGUAGCGGUGAAAUGCGUAGAGAUCGGGAAGAACAUCGGUGGCGAAAGCGCUCUACUGGGCCGCAACUGACACUCAGGGACGAAAGCUAGGGGAGCGAAUGGG